AUGGCUCCCGCCCCGGCGCCGGAGAGGGAUGCGCACCCGGGGCUGACGCUCGCCCCCGCCGGGAUGCUGAGCCGCGCUCUCACCGAGGGCCCCGCGGCGCUGUCCCCGCGCUCCGCCGGCGGCUCUGGCUCGAAAAGUUUCUCCAUGGUUCCUUUGUGUCGCCCGAGCGCCCGUUCGCCGGCCCCGACCUGCCCCCGUCUUCCCGGACUCGUUCCUUUUUUGGCGCCUCUGAUCCUGAGUCCUGGUGAAGCUGUUUUAAGUGGUUAUGGUCUGCACCACGCAAAGCUGCUGACAAUUCACCAAACUGUGAGAAAGCACAUCCCUCCACAGCCAGCUGGUAGUUCUAGUUCAAUGAACACAAAGGUCAAUUUUAUUACCAACGUUUCUGCAUGUAUUUCAGCCAUUGGACAUCAAAAGGCGAAGGAAAAAAGCCCCUCCGCUCAGUUCAGGAACAAACCUUCCCCUGCACUGGGCCCUAGAGGGCAGCCCUGGGCUGUCACUGGGAGCCUGGAGCUGCCCAGGAGCAGGGUGUCCACCACCCCACCCUCCGCUUCUCUGGGCAGAAUCAUCUCUCAUGGGGCAACCCAGAGCUGUGGGAAAGUUUCUGCUGACUGAAGCAAAGAUGCUGAUUCAGAAUUUUAAAUAAGAGAUAGCCUUAAUGAAAUAAAGAGUCUAAGUUUCUAUAAAAGGAGUCAGCAAAAAUUUUGUGAAAGCCCAGAGAGUAAAUACUAUAGGCUUAUUGGGCCCUGGGGUGUCUGUCUCAGUGACCCAGCUUCACCAAGCAACAAACCAGGACCCUUAGACAAACAAAUGUAAACAAAUGGGCAUGGCUGGGUGCCAAUAAAACUUUAUUUACAAAAACAGGGAGUAGGUUGGAUCUAGUUUGUUGGCUGCAGUUAAGCAAUGCCUGUUCUAGAACACUAGCAGAAUGUCUAUACGUAUGUUUGCCUCUAAUUUAAGAUACCCAGGAACUGUUAACUCAGUGAUUCAUACUAUACAUUCCUACCUAGAGCACAAACACAGUCCCCAUACUCAAGUGCUAAUAUUCAUAGAUGUGAAGGACAAGAGAUUGGUUUAUAUAUUUAAUUUCAUGCUAGAUACCAGUGCUAAUCAUUCCUAAAUGGAGAACUGCAGACAGAGUCUGAGUGUGUCUGUCAGUAGGACAUGAACCAUCUUCAUUGGCACCUAAUACAUUCUACAUGGAGAACAGCUAGGAUCUGACUGCUUUUGCAAAAUGUAAUAAGGUUCAAAGACCAAAGAACUAUAUUCUGAUGCCUGUACAUAAUAAUACAUCUGGAAAAAAGCUAGAUUGUAGAAUCAAUAGCAGUCAGAUGGUCCUGCAACAUGGUAUUCCUGGGAGACUAAAAAAAAAAAAAAGUAAAAUAUACAGAAGACUAAGUUCAUAGCAGUUUUUUAAAACACACAAUCUGAAUUUCAAAAUGUAGCUAUGCUUAUUGAUUUUUACAAAAUAACUAUGCUGUAUAACGCUGCAUUUUAACAACAAGCCCUGGUGAUUGAUUCUCCCUCUGCAUUGAAAUGAUGGCUACUUGAAUCAAACAGUAACUAACAGCCAGUAGAUGGCAUCUAACUGCCAGAGCAAGGUUCUAGACUGACACCUAUUUUUAACAUCAGAUUUUCUGAUUUAUGAGGGCUUACCUCCUGAAUAUUCAUUGGAAGGACUGAUGCUGAAGCUGAAGCUCCAAUAAUUUGGCCACCUGAUGCGAAGAGCCAAUUCAUUGGAAACGACCCUGAUGCUGGUGCUGGGAAAGAUUGAAAGUAAAAGACAGAAGAUGCAGUAGAGGAUGAGAUUUUUAGACAGUAUCACUGACUCAAUGGAGACGAAUUUGAGCAAACUAUGGGAGACAGUGGAGGACAGAGGAGCCUGCCCUGCUACUACUGUCUGUGGGGCUGCAAAGUCAGACACAACCUAGCGACUGAGCAACAACCCUCCGAUGUUAUUCAUAUUGAAUCAUUUUCAUUUUGAGCUCUACUCAUCACAGUUGAGUUUUUAAAUCCCCAUCCAAUAAAUUCACUCAAAGAGCUACAGGAGACAAAAAAAUUUUUCCUUAAUUUGAACCUGUUAUUUCCAACUGCAUUUCCACAUAAGAAGCAGAUGCAAUGUUCUGAAUUUUAAAAAGAGAUAAUUUAAAGACACGAAACACUGCACACAGGCAUUUCAAACACACUUAGUUCUUUAUGAUUGAGUAAAGCCGAGUUGCUAAUUGCUGGAUCAAGCCCAAAAGAUAUAAUGAGUGUAACACUAAACACCCUCCACUUGGAUAAAUUCCAUAGGAGUCAAUUGAGUUUAAAAGUUUCACAAAUAAUUAAAUUACUGACUAGGAUAGAGCAUAACGAAAAAGCCAAUAGCUUGAAUUCUGUUCCUUAGAGCUCAAUUUGCUUUUCAGCCGACUGUGUUUAGCUAUCUGCAAUUGUAACAAACUAAAAUCAUUAAAGACCCAUAUAUUUUCUUAUGCAGCCUGAAGAGAACUUCAAUGGACUUUCCCACACACAGAAAUUAUAAUACUUUUUAAAAGGAGGCAGCGUUUACAAGUCUUAACUCUUUUUUAUUUUUGCCCCCACCAUGCAUAUUGAAGUCAAUAUGCAUAUUGACUUCAAUAUGCGAGAUUAUAAAUAAUUUGGGGCAAAGAAUAAACAGAUGCUUCUUAGGAUGCACUUUCUAGGUUGUGACCCACGUAUUUUGGUGUUGGAGUUUGAGUUAGACUGAUUGCAGAAAUAAAACAGCAUUCUUGGAAAUGGGAAGGACAGAGGUCUAUGGGGGAAAAGAAUAAUCUAAUCAGAGACUUGUUUCUUACUUUAAUCACGAGCCAUAAAAACUGCCAACUCCCAUGUCAUGCUGCAGUAAAGGUUACAUCAGCACUUCAUACAAUAUUUAUGGUGUAAAAGAAGCCCUGCAGUCCGACUCUGACAUGACAUUAAUCUUCCUGCUCUCUCAUCUCUUAUCUCCCUCCCCGCCACACACACACACCCCUCCUCUCAGCUAAAUGUGUUCCCUGGUGCCAUUCUGAUCAUGCAGAUAACUGCCUGUAGAAUAUGGCUAUAACAAGCACGCUCGACCACAAAAUGAAUACAGAAUCACAUUGGAUCCUAGGAAGAUGC
This 3117-nucleotide long non-coding RNA is filed under the name Bos grunniens (domestic yak). Its description in RNAcentral is "lncRNA (ENSBGRG00000023853.1)". The record is from RNAcentral. Lineage: Eukaryota; Metazoa; Chordata; Mammalia; Artiodactyla; Bovidae.